ACAACUAUUUAAAAAAUCAACGGUCGCGAGAACAUUCUAGGAACUUGUGGAUGCAAAACCAGUGGUUUUGCUGGUAGUUUAUCCACGCGGAUAAGGAUUCACUUAGGCCCUCCGAUCAAAUUAAUCUCAUCCGUCCGUUUCUCCAAGGCGUUCUAUAAAUACCUUCGCCUCAACCCGCUUUCAGUACUUUAUCGUCUCCCAGUUACUGUUGUUUCUGCAUCGGGGAUUCUUUGCUGGUAGUUUAUCGUCUACUUUGUUUAAUGGUCUCUGCUAAUGGAUUUCGGUUUUCGGCUUCAUCUGUGACGGUUUAGAUCGUUGGUAGGGUUUGAAUUUGCGUCCCGUGUCGUUUAUUAAUUCUAGAGUACUGAUGGAUUGGAACACGGUUUGAAUCUCGAGUGACUCCUUUUCAAAGAUCUAGAUUAUAUGGUUUGGUGUCGGUUCACUAUUGAUUGUUUAUCGUCUGGCUUCGUUUCUGUUUUGUUUUUGGUUGCAUAUGUUUCCUGAAACUCAGAUGAAUCUCGACCGAUCUGUGAUCAAAGUUCGAUUGAUUAAGUGCGUGGUUCUCUGGUUUGGUUUCUCUUCGUGUUUCAUAAUUCAUUAUUUAGGACUUUUGCUUCCUUAAUCUCUGGUGAUGUUCUAAGUGGCUACCGUUUUGAUAGUGAAUCGAUGUGGAAUUCAUGACGUGCACAACUUUUGGUUUGUAGACAACGGAUCGGUCCCGAUUCUUUUGGGAUCUGGUUUGAUUUCACUUCAUGCUUAAUCGCAUAGGGUGUAUAUGUUCGGUUUCUUUCCUUCCGUCGUUUAUUAUGAAGAUAAUUUAAAGAUACUGUCAAUUAGACCGUUCCUGAAAGCCUUGCUAGUUGAUAUGUCCUAUUUUCAAUGUCCUAUUAUCGACAUGACAGCUAGAUGCAGGACUUGGAUUUACGAACGAGUUGUUCUCUAUACAUGGUUUGUAUUGUUGUAUUGUCCAUUACUCCCUAACCUGCUGUGCCAUCUGGAUACACUAUCGAAUGCUAAGCUGUGUGAUUUACGAUGAAGUUUCAGAUUCUGUAGGAUCCUCUCCUUGCUGAUUUAUUGAUGAAAGGAGGGCAUCUUUUGUUGGCUAUACUGUAUAUAUGAGUCUGUCAUCUUAUAUUUUGUGCUGGUUAUAACUUCCCAACUUUUCACCAGAUCCCUCCAGUGUGAUACCUUUAAGCUUUGGCCGGGCUACCUUCAAUUUACUUCUAUGAUGUCUGUUGCUGCGACAUAAGCUUUAUUCAUUUAGGGUUUAUAAGAUCAUUCCCUGUGUUCCUAUAUUCUACUUAUUUCCACCUUUGUUGAGGAGAGAUAGUUAGGUGCUGGUGGAUUUUGGUACUAACAGCCAGGCGAGCAUCAUUUCAUACAUGGAGGGAUGAUCUUGAUUGAUGAUUUAAUAUGUUUACUUCUUUUGUAGUUCUAAAUUUUAUUUUGGUACUCAAGCUCUUGGCUAAUCUGAUUAAUCUGCUUAUAUAUUUCAAAUUUUUGAUUAGGAUGGAAAACUCAAGCAACAAGUGAGGCAGCUCUAAGAGCUCUUAUUAUUAGAGAUAUAGAGAUGGUUGGGUAUGGGUUUUGCAACUAAAAUUAGUUUGGUUUUUGUGUGUUGAUGAGGUUUCAUAUGCAUGUUGCCCACUAUUUAGGAUUGCCUUUUCAUUUGGUUUAUGGGAAUUUUAAUAUUUGAAUAGUUGUUUUUGUUUUCACAAUUGCAUUUUUAAACUGCAUGAUUAAGCAAUAAUAUGUGUCAUGUCCUACAUUUUUUUAUACUAUUAUGUCUAUAUUCUUCGAGUGACUCUACCUAUGCUGGUAGAUGGUUCUUAUAUGCAGAGCUCCUAUAAUUUGGAAUGAUGCCUGUAUGAUCUUUAUGGCUAAGGUGAAGAGUUUAUGGUGAAUGGGAUAUUGGUUAAGUGUGUCAUUGCCAUGGUGCCCCAAUCUUGAAGCUGCAUGGGCAAGAGAGGGGGCUUUUGUUGGGAAGUAGUGAACUUUGAUGUUUUUCAUGAACUUGUUUCCUUUAAUAUUCUUCAAGUGACUGUUUCUAUACUAGUUGAUGGUUCUUUGUUACAGAACUUUGAUUAUUUGGAAAGUGGCCUCCAGCAGAAUGAUUAUGGCUAAGAUGAAGAGCUUGUGGUCCUGAUAUAUCAAUGAGUUACUGGUUGAGUGCCUGGUAUUGUUACUUUGUAGUAUCUGGAGAUUGGUUUCUUUCAAUGUAGGUCCUUACAUGUGCAUUCUGGUUUUGGAGUCUCUACCCUUGCCACAUACCAGAGGUUAUUGGUGCCUAGUAUUUGUUAUUCAACAGUAACUGCACAUUACUUUCUUUUAAAGGUUCCAUAGUAAGAUUUAUGUUCUUACACAGAAAUAGUGCCCUCUAUCUUGAUGGAGCCUGCAUGAGAAAGAAAAUGAUUCUCUUUUGCCGAACUUUCAUAAUAUUUGGAAAGUGCCCUCUGGAAUGUUUAUGGUUAUGUUGAAGAGCUUACGGUCCUGAUUAUGGAUGGGUUGUUUUUCAAGUGUCUGGUAUAUGGCUGCACUCUUGGUUUUUUAAGGUAGCCCCUUGCAUGUUCAUGCUGAUUUUGGAGUCUUGACAUAUAUACCAGAGGUUAUUGCUUCAUGCCUGGUAUUUUGGAAUCUUGACAUAUAUACCAGAGGUUAUUCCGUAGUAGCUUCACACUGGUUUUUGGAAUCAUGCAAUAUAUUAGAGAUUAUUGGUUGCAUUUGAUUUAGGCCUUGACAUGUUCACACUGGUUUUGGAAUCUUGCCUUAUGCACGUUAUUGGUUAGGAUGACCAUGUCCCAUGUUUAUGUAAUUUGCAUGCUGGAAUCUUCCCUAGGAUGACCAUCUCUUCUGAUGUCUGCACUUAUUUGGAUGCUAGUACGUCUCAUCCUUGUAUGCAGACCCCUUGUUGCUGAUCCUUGGCUGCAACAUGGUAGUUGGUGGGAUUGCUGGAUUUUUGAGGCUUGGCUUUUAAAAUCAUGACCUGAAUUCUGUCUCUUUGGUUUCUUCUUUAAUUAUGUGUAGACCUUGGAGAGAGAGUGAGAUAAUGUAACACAGGGAUUGUAUAUGCAGCUUUGUUGAUAGUCUUAUGUGAUAAUCGCUAUAUAAUAGAUUUAUUUGCUUAAUUUAUUUUAUGCAAUUUUUGUAUAACAUUGGUGAUAAUCGAAUAAUUGGUUAAAUAUAGUGUUAUUGUUAUAUA
Andrographis paniculata is the source of this 3199-nucleotide long non-coding RNA. RefSeq lists it as uncharacterized. The record is from RefSeq and is a predicted model, not a curated record. Lineage: Eukaryota; Viridiplantae; Streptophyta; Magnoliopsida; Lamiales; Acanthaceae. The transcript is spliced from 2 exons.